Molecule: long non-coding RNA, 4372 nt
Organism: Myxocyprinus asiaticus (Chinese sucker)
Lineage: Eukaryota; Metazoa; Chordata; Actinopteri; Cypriniformes; Catostomidae
Exons: 3
Source: RefSeq, a predicted model, not a curated record
UCAUACAAUUUCCAAAAUAUUUCAUGAAAUAUGUGAAUGGGCUUAAAAUGGUACAUGAUGUCCAUUUAAGCCCAUGGGUUUUCCAAUUGAGCCCACUUUUUGAUUAAUUGAAAAAUAGACAUUUUAUUGUUUAGAAUUAGGAAAACAUUUCCAACAUGACUGGUAAACAAUUUAACAUUUACAGCAACACAUAAAUUCAUUCUAUAUUAUGUAAUACAUCAGUAGGUGAACAGUUACGCCUAAUGUUGAGUGAACAUCCUAAAUACAUUUAUCAACAUUAGAACAUUUAAAAUAUGCAUUAAUUACAUUUUAUGCAUUUAAAUACAUUAAGUUUACAUUCACAUUUAAAAAAAAAAGAAAAAAAAAAAACUUCUCAAAUAACAGUGAACAUCUAAUGAAAAAGAAAAAUCUAAUACAGCAUUAAGCCACAAGUAGGGCUGUCACGAUUAUUAAAUUUGGCUGACGAUUAAUUGUCAAACAAAUAAUUGCGGCUGUGACAAUUAAUUGUCUCGUUAAGGGCUUUAGUGAUUAAUUGUCAUACAACUGUCAUGUUUUAGUAAGGUGUGCUUUUUUCUGUAUGUGUGCUUCAUACACCUAAAGAAGUCAUUUUUACAUAUUUAACUUCAAAUAUACAAAUCAAAUAAUAAAAUAGGGAUAAACUACGAUUUCAUUUUAAUGCUUUAAAAACAUAUGAAUGACAAGAAAAAUAUCAAAAUAUUUCUAAAUAAUUGAAAUCUCUCUUUUUGGUCAACUUUAAUUUUACAUUUACACUUGUUUUUGUAACUCAUUUUAUAUUUUGUAAUAAAAUAUAAUUUGUAUAUAUAUUUAUAUUAUGCAGUAGUAAAAUAUUUAUUUCCUAAUUUCUACACUUUAAAAUUUUAUUUUAAUGCUCUGAUUAAACCCACCAACCCUUAUUUGCCAUGAAGCAGAACCUUUGAGAUUUCGUUUCAUCAUUUUAUCACUCCACAGAAAUACAUUAAGUUUGUCUCUUUGUCACUGUGUGUCAUUAACACAGCAUGUAUGAACCAGGAACAUUUGCCAUUACAUGAUCGUUUAAAGUGAAACUGGAGCGCUUUGCGUUCAGUAUCAAAGUUAAUACUUGUUUGUUUGUACUUUCGCAGGAGUUUGGCGCAAGCCUCUGCUGACAGCGCGCUCUUCAGGACAGGAGCUGGUUGACCUCCGCGGUGCGGUUCAGUGAUGCUCGGACUGGAGUUCAAUUGAAUGAUACAGAAGUGCCGUUCAUGGCAUUUAUACAGUAUAUUAGCUUAAACUUCCCUUAUUUGGGCAUUAAAAUUUGAUUGGAAUUUGAAUGCCCAAUAAUCGUAGUUGUCUCAAAUAACAACUGUUAGAUCAAAUAACCGUGAUCAGAUGGUUAUUUAAUAAUCGCGACAGGCCUAGCCACAAGAGACAGUGCGUUACAGUGAUUUCAGCAUGGGAAAGGUGCAUUCUUAGGCCCUGCUCCAAAUGGCACACCUGAUGUGGACUUGUGGUCCGCAAGGGAUUAUGGCCAAAGUAUACUUCUGUUGUCCGUGUUGCUGAUUGGAAUGCGCACAUUAUGCAUCAGGCAAAUUUUGUCACCAGCACAGUCUGCGUGUCCUGUCUGCAUUUACUUUGAAAGUCUGCGUGCUCGACCGUGUGUGAGAUGACCCAGAAUGCGGAUUAACAAAGUAUACCCAGGCCUUUAGUGUUCCAUCUGGGACAGGGUCAUUGGCAUGAGGCGAAGCAAAGUGCCUAAAUCCUUCUUAAUGGGGGUUAAAUAAUUGUAACACACAGACUAGAGUCUUUUUGCUUUUAUAAAACAGUCACAACAGUAAUGUUACAGUAAUGACACCAUGUCCUUAUGUUACAGUGAUUGUACCAUGGAUAAGAGGUGUUUUUUGGCAAACCGCAAAGCUCGAGUGGCUUGUUGCUUUUAUAAAAUGGUGGCACCAGCAAUAUGAUGAAAGACAAAACAUUUUAAUAAGCAGUUCAAUGUAUUAAUAAUUUAAUAAACAAUUAGUACUACAGAACGUGCUAUCCCAUGUGUGCGUUUUAUAGUCAUUUUACAACGGCUUUGAACAAGGCCCAUAUAAUCAGAUUUCAGGGUUGGAUUUUGUUUUAAUAAAAAAAAUAAAAAAAAUAAAAUAAAAAAAAUAUUGCGAGUUGCAUUUAAUGAAAUACAACAAAAAUGUAAAGAGAGCACGGUUAACAUGCUUGAUCAAACCAUUAAUCUGUUACACAAAUUAUUAAUAAUUACCAAAUAAUUGAUCGGACAUAUAAGAAGUAUGUAUUCAUUUGCAGGGUCUCUUUACACCAUUGGUUAUCUACCACAUAUUGUGUGGUUAGGGGAAUGCUUGUACAAGGGCAGUCCUAAACUGAAUUUUGGCUCAUCUGAUUGGCUUGCAAUAAAAAUAACUCGAAUGACAAAUAGGUUUAUUUAAAUAUAUAUAUAAAAAAAUAAAAAAUAAGUGUUUCUUUUUUAUUUUUCUCUUCAAAGAUGAAGGCUUAAAGGGUUCACUUACUCUAAUUAUUAAUUCAUUUAUUUUCGUAUAUCAUUUAUUCGUAGACGCAACCAUUCUACUACAUGACUGCAUUCAAACAGGGGUACUAAAUUGUUUUCAGAGCUUUAUUUGGAUGCAUUUGUACACAAUAUACACUGAUCAGCCAUAAUAUUAAAACCACUGACAGAUGAAGUGAAUAACAUUUAUUAUCGUUACAAUAGCACCUGUCAAGGGGUGGGAUAUAUUAGGCAGCAAGUGAACAGUCAGUUUUUGAAUUUCAUGUGUUGGAAGCAGGAAAAAUGGGCAAGCGUAAAGAUCGAAGCGACUUUGACAAGGGCCAAAUUGUGAUGACUCGACUGAGUAUGAGCAUCUCGAAAAUGGCAGGUCUUGUGGGGUGUUCCCAGUAUGCAGUGGUUAGUACCUACCAAAAGUGAACCAGUGGACAGGGUCAUGGGCAACCAAGGCUCAUUGUUGCGCUUGGGGAGUGAAGGCUAGCCCGUCUGGUCCGAUCCCAUAGAAGAGCUACUGUAGCACAAAUUGCUGAAAAAUUUAACGCUGACCAUGACAGAAAGGUGUCAAAACACACUAUGCACCACAGUUUGCUGCGUAUGGGGCUGUGUAGCCGCAGACCGGUCAGAGUGCCCAUGCUGACCCCUUUCCACCACCGAAAGCGCCUAAAUUGGGCACGUGAGCGUCAGAACCGGACCAUUGAGCAAUGGUAGAUGGUGUCCUGGUCUGAUGAUUCACGUCUUCUUUUAGACCAGGGGUCGGCAACCUAUGCAAUCUAGGUAAUCACUGGCACGCCAGCAACGGCGAGAGGAGCAGACUUUAUUUAUAUAAAUAAAUAUAUUAAUUCCAAUCUACAUCUUGAUGUAAUUCUCAUGAUCACACAGCGUGUUUUCAUGAGCUGAAUGGGAGGCUAAACAAAAAAAUAAGUGACGAGACUGCAGUAUACCCAGCAGACUCGUGCAAUCGUGAGGAUCAUGAGGAAGGAUUACAUCAAGAUGUAGACUGGAAUGCAGAUGCGAAAAACUUAAUAUAAAUAAAAUAGCCUUCUCUCUCCCCGUUCCUUUCGUACUAGUGAUUACAUGAUUACAACAACAUAAGAAAUAUUUAAGAUUCCAUACAAUUUUGUUAACAGUAAUCAAAUAAGCAAAUUUGUGACACUGAAGGUGUUAACUCAUUUUGUACAAAAGGACAGGUUUUCUUUCAUUAAAGCACUUUCACAAGAUGCUCUGUGAAAAUUCACAUGCAGGAUCAUUAUAUCAUAACACUAUGUAACACAAUUACAGUGUGAUGCUCUGGGCAAUGUUCUGCUGGGAAACCCCCCAGUUACACUGGCAUGUAAAGAUUGUUGCAGACCACGUAGACUCCUUCAUGGCAGUGGCCUCUUUCAGCAGGAUAAUGCACCCUGCCACGCUGCAAAAAUUGUUCAGGAAUGGUUUGAGGAACACGACAAAGUGUUCAAGGUGUUGACUUGGCCUCCAAAUUCCACAGAUCUCAACCCGAGUGAGCAUCUGUGGGAUGUGCUGGACCAACAAGUCCAAUCCAUGGAGGCCUCACCUCGCAACUUACAGGACUUGAAGGAUCUGCUGCUAAUGUCUUGGUAACAGAUACUACAGGACACCUUCAGAGGUCUUGUGGAGUAAAUGCCUCGACGGGUCAGAGCUGUUUUGGUGGCACGAGGGGGGCCUACAUGAUAUUAGGCAGGUGGUUUUAAUGUUGUGGCUGAUCGGUGUAGUAUGUGACCAAAACUCUGAAGUAAAGUUCAAACUUGCUGUUUCUGCGCUGAGCUGACAACUCGAUGGAAAACACAAAUACAUCGUUUAAAACGAUAUCGACAUCCUGAAAAAACAUAUUUAACCAUAAAAUCAAACGGAAAAUAUUUUAAA